UUAGAUAAAUAACAGCUCUUUAAUUAUUUUCAUACAACAGAUUAAAUGAAGAUUUACUAUAAAGUAUGAUACCUUCGCCUUUCCUGUUAGGAAAAUUAAACUAGUACUAAAUUUUGACAGUUGAAGACAGUUCCAAAUUUUGACAAUGAAAGUAGAAAUUCUGCAGCAAAUUCAAAAUAAAAUCAUAAAUUUUCGUCCCAUUCAUUACCUAAUAUUAUACAAAACAUAAACGUGAAGUGAAAUGAAAGAAGUAACAGCAGCACCUCGUGACUGCUUAGCCUGCAGAAUUGUUGGAUCAGUAGGUCUUAUCGGAAUUGGAGGCUAUUUGGCCAAUUGCUCAUGGAAACAAAAAACCAUCCUCGGGAAAUACGCAAUGUCUUUUGGCUCUUUUGGUUUCAUUUGCCUUGGAAUAGCGAGGUACAAGCAAACAUUCCCAUUUCACAAAAAACCUGCGGAAAUCUGAAUGAGGCUAUUAUUUUGUAAAUAUUGUAUGAAGGUGUGAAUUAGUGUAUUUAAAAAUAAGUGAAGGAUUGAAUUAAGUUAACAAUGAAGAUGCACAAUGUCAUUUGUAUUAAAAAGUGAUUACGUAGUAACGCCAUCUCUUGACACUUCAAGUAAUCAAAUUGCCGUUCAAAAUCCUGAAACCAAACCCGAAUGGGUACACAAAUUAAUCAGAGAUGGCGACCUAUUACAUUAAGUAUAAAUGUUAUUUCUUUACAAUUGCAUGUAAAUUUGCCUCAUAACGAUAACGAUUAUAUGUAAACAAUAAAAAAUAUUAUUAUAGUCAAGUGA
Molecule: long non-coding RNA, 792 nt
Organism: Bombyx mori (domestic silkworm)
Lineage: Eukaryota; Metazoa; Arthropoda; Insecta; Lepidoptera; Bombycidae
Exons: 3
Source: RefSeq, a predicted model, not a curated record